UUACCCCUACGGGACGCAGCAGUAGGGAAUCUUCCACAAUGGGCGAAAGCCUGAUGGAGCAACGCCGCGUGGGUGAAGAAGGUCUUCGGAUCGUAAAACCCUGUUGUUAGAGAAGAAAGUGCGUGAGAGUAACUGUUCACGUUUCGACGGUAUCUAACCAGAAAGCCACGGCUAACUACGUGCCAGCAGCCGCGGUAAUACAUAGGUGGCAAGCGUUAUCCGGAUUUAUUGGGCGUAA
Molecule: ribosomal RNA, 238 nt
Filed under: uncultured bacterium
Lineage: Bacteria
Description: partial 16S ribosomal RNA
Rfam family: Bacterial small subunit ribosomal RNA
Source: RNAcentral